AGACUCAAUCCCUCGGGUUUCCGAGGAGAUUGGACUUGGGUGUUGCCGCUCUGCCGGCUCGCCUUAAAAGACUUAGCGGGAUAGCACCGUAGUCGGCGUAAUAAGUUUCGUCGGUGAAGGUUGUGAUGACUGCUUACAAUCGCCCUCGGGCAAUUUUUGA
RNAcentral lists this unclassified non-coding RNA (160 nucleotides) under Saitozyma podzolica. RNAcentral describes it as "partial internal transcribed spacer 2". RNAcentral also lists the same sequence under 3 other names. The record is from RNAcentral. Lineage: Eukaryota; Fungi; Basidiomycota; Tremellomycetes; Tremellales; Trimorphomycetaceae.